GAUGGCCUCGUGCUACUACUGCAGUCGAGCGAGCGGCAACUAACAGAUUUACUUCGGCAAUGACGUUAGGAAAGCGAGCGGCGGAUGGGUGAGUAACACGUGGGGAACCUGCCCCAUAGUCUGGGAUACCACUUGGAAACAGGUGCUAAUACCGGAUAAGAAAGCAGAUCGCAUGAUCAGCUUUUAAAAGGCGGCGUAAGCUGUCGCUAUGGGAUGGCCCCGCGGUGCAUUAGCUAGUUGGUAAGGUAAAGGCUUACCAAGGCGAUGAUGCAUAGCCGAGUUGAGAGACUGAUCGGCCACAUUGGGACUGAGACACGGCCCAAACUCCUACGGGAGGCAGCAGUAGGGAAUCUUCCACAAUGGACGCAAGUCUGAUGGAGCAACGCCGCGUGAGUGAAGAAGGUUUUCGGAUCGUAAAGCUCUGUUGUUGGUGAAGAAGGAUAGAGGUAGUAACUGGCCUUUAUUUGACGGUAAUCAACCAGAAAGUCACGGCUAACUACGUGCCAGCAGCCGCGGUAAUACGUAGGUGGCAAGCGUUGUCCGGAUUUAUUGGGCGUAAAGCGAGCGCACGCGGAAGAAUAAGUCUGGAUGUGGAAAAGCCCUCGGGCCUUAAUCCGAGGAAGCUGCAUCGGAAACUGUUUUUCUUGAGUGCAGAAGAGGAGAGUGGAACUCCAUGUGUAGCGGUGGAAUGCGUAGAUAUAUGGAAGAACACCAGUGUACGAAGGCGGCUCUCUGGUCUGCAACUGACGCUGAGGCUCGAAAGCAUGGGUAGCGAACAGGAUUAGAUACCCUGCUAGUCCAUGCCGCUAAACGAUGAGUGCUAAGUUGCUAGCGAGGACUUCCCGCCUCUCAGCGUCUGCCAGCCUAAUCGCAAUUAAAGCAACACACCGGGCGAGGACCAACGCAAGGUUGAAACUCAAAGGAAUUGACGGGGGCCCGCACAAGCGGUGGAGCAUGUGGUUUAAUUCGAAGCAACGCGAAGAACCUUACCAGGUCUUGACAUCUAGUGCCAUUUGUAGAGAUACAAAGUUCCCUUCGGGGACGCUAAGACAGGUGGUGCAUGGCUGUCGUCAGCUCGUGUCGUGAGAUGUUGGGUUAAGUCCCGCAACGAGCGCAACCCUUGUUAUUAGUUGCCAGCAUUAAGUUGGGCACUCUAAUGAGACUGCCGGUGACAAACCGGAGGAAGGUGGGGAUGACGUCAAGUCAUCAUGCCCCUUAUGACCUGGGCUACACACGUGCUACAAUGGGCAGUACAACGAGAAGCGAGCCUGCGAAGGCAAGCGAAUCUCUGAAAGCUGUUCUCAGUUCGGACUGCAGUCUGCAACUCGACUGCACGAAGCUGGAAUCGCUAGUAAUCGCGGAUCAGCACGCCGCGGUGAAUACGUUCCCGGGCCUUGUACACACCGCCCGUCACACCAUGGGAGUCUGCAAUGCCCAAAGCCGGUGGCCUAACCUUCGGGAAGGAGCCGUCUAAGGCAGUUCGGGAGGC
RNAcentral lists this ribosomal RNA (1489 nucleotides) under Lactobacillus crispatus. RNAcentral describes it as "bacterial SSU rRNA". It matches the Rfam family "Bacterial small subunit ribosomal RNA". The record is from RNAcentral. Lineage: Bacteria; Bacillati; Bacillota; Bacilli; Lactobacillales; Lactobacillaceae.